ACUCAAAUGAAUUGACGGGGGCCCGCACAAGCGGUGGAGCAUGUGGUUUAAUUCGACGCAACGCGAAGAACCUUACCUGGGCUUGACAUGCGCGCGCAAGCCGGCAGAGACGCCGGCCCCUCUUCGGAGCGCGCGCACAGGUGCUGCAUGGCUGUCGUCAGCUCGUGUCGUGAGAUGUUGGGUUAAGUCCCGCAACGAGCGCAACCCCCGCCCCUAGUUGCCAGCGGAGCGGCCCUUUAACAAGGCCAAGCCGGGGACUCUAGGGGGACUGCCGGUGCCAAACCGGAGGAGGGUGGGGACGACGUCAAGUCAUCAUGGUCCUUACGUCCAGGGCUACACACGUGCUACAAUGGGCGGGACAGUGGGCCGCGAGGCGGCAACGCCGAGCCAAUCCCCAAACCCGCCCUCAGUUCGGAUUGCCGGCUGCAACCCGCCGGCAUGAAGCCGGAAUCGCUAGUAAUCGUGGAUCAGCCACGCCACGGUGAAUACGUUCCCGGGCCUUGUACACACCGCCCGU
Molecule: ribosomal RNA, 517 nt
Filed under: uncultured bacterium
Lineage: Bacteria
Description: partial 16S ribosomal RNA
Rfam family: Bacterial small subunit ribosomal RNA
Source: RNAcentral